GCGCCCGUAGCUCAACUGGAUAGAGCGUUGGUCUCCGAAGCCAAAGGUUAUGGGUUCAACUCCCGUCGGGCGCA
RNAcentral lists this transfer RNA (74 nucleotides) under [Chlorobium] sp. 445. RNAcentral describes it as "Chlorobium sp. 445 tRNA-Arg". It matches the Rfam family "tRNA". Rfam says of the family: Transfer RNA (tRNA) molecules are approximately 80 nucleotides in length. Their secondary structure includes four short double-helical elements and three loops (D, anti-codon, and T loops). Lineage: Bacteria; Pseudomonadati; Chlorobiota; Chlorobiia; Chlorobiales; Chloroherpetonaceae. RNAcentral also lists the same sequence under 2 other names. The record is from RNAcentral.